RNAcentral lists this non-coding RNA (23 nucleotides) under Arabidopsis thaliana (thale cress). The record is from RNAcentral. Lineage: Eukaryota; Viridiplantae; Streptophyta; Magnoliopsida; Brassicales; Brassicaceae.
GGAAGAGCAGUUUGGUCAUGGUC